RNAcentral lists this ribosomal RNA (168 nucleotides) under Zarea fungicola. RNAcentral describes it as "5.8S ribosomal RNA". It matches the Rfam family "5.8S ribosomal RNA". Rfam says of the family: 5.8S ribosomal RNA (5.8S rRNA) is a component of the large subunit of the eukaryotic ribosome. It is transcribed by RNA polymerase I as part of the 45S precursor that also contains 18S and 28S rRNA. Functionally, it is thought that 5.8S rRNA may be involved in ribosome translocation. Lineage: Eukaryota; Fungi; Ascomycota; Sordariomycetes; Hypocreales; Cordycipitaceae. The record is from RNAcentral.
AAAACUUUCAACAACGGAUCUCUUGGUUCUGGCAUCGAUGAAGAACGCAGCGAAAUGCGAUAAGUAAUGUGAAUUGCAGAAUUCAGUGAAUCAUCGAAUCUUUGAACGCACAUUGCGCCCGCCAGCAUUCUGGCGGGCAUGCCUGUUCGAGCGUCAUUUCAACCCUCG